CUGGUGUGUGUUGUGUUUGUAGUGGUUUGUAGGUCGAAUUGGAAAGGAAAAUUGAGUAAAGGUGAAUUAGAAAAAACGGCCAGGAAGAUGAAUUUCCAACUGCAUUUGAAGUUGGGGUGUAUGGAGGACCAUCAGAAACAUUGGAAGUAUAUCUCCCAAAUUUAAAUGUUAAUUUUACAAUUGAUGAGUGCCACGUGAUUCCUCCCAACUUAAUGAGACCAAUUUCAAUACCAAAAAAUUUUUCUGAAGAUCAAAAUAAAAUUGAUAUUGAAGCAAUGAGAUAUUUGGCAAUUGAAAUUGACAAUAACACAUGUUCAUUCCAAAUUGAUCCAAUUGUUGAUGAAGAUUAUGGCAAGUGGAUAAUCAUCUAUACUUUUAAAAAAGUUUACAAUGAAUUUCAAAUGGUAAUUGGUUAUCAACCACCUCUUAUUGGUGUACUACAUAUUUACUGUUGAUUUACAUAAUUUUUAUUAAAUUUUUAUA
This 483-nucleotide unclassified non-coding RNA is filed under the name Aphidius gifuensis. RNAcentral describes it as "uncharacterized LOC122857681, transcript variant X4". The record is from RNAcentral. Lineage: Eukaryota; Metazoa; Arthropoda; Insecta; Hymenoptera; Braconidae.